AUUGAACGCUGGCGGCAUGCUUUACACAUGCAAGUCGAACGGUAACAGGCCGCAAGGUGCUGACGAGUGGCGCACGGGUGAGUAAUGCAUCGGAACGUGCCCAGUCGUGGGGGAUAACUACUCGAAAGAGUAGCUAAUACCGCAUACGAUCUAUGGAUGAAAGCGGGGGACCGUAAGGCCUCGCGCGAUUGGAGCGGCCGAUGUCAGAUUAGGUAGUUGGUGGGGUAAAGGCUCACCAAGCCAACGAUCUGUAGCUGGUCUGAGAGGACGACCAGCCACACUGGGACUGAGACACGGCCCAGACUCCUACGGGAGGCAGCAGUGGGGAAUUUUGGACAAUGGGCGCAAGCCUGAUCCAGCAAUGCCGCGUGCAGGGAGAAGGCCUUCGGGUUGUAAACUGCUUUUGUACGGAACGAAACGGCUCUGGUUAAUACCCGGGGCUAAUGACGGUACCGUAAGAAUAAGCACCGGCUAACUACGUG
Molecule: ribosomal RNA, 482 nt
Filed under: uncultured bacterium
Lineage: Bacteria
Description: partial 16S ribosomal RNA
Rfam family: Bacterial small subunit ribosomal RNA
Source: RNAcentral